CCGGACCCCACUGCUAUCGGGGUGGGACUAAAACAUGCAAGUCGAGCGCCUCCAAGCUAUGGUGAAGGCGCGGCAAACGGCUCAGUAACACGUGGCCAACCUACCCUUAGGACGGAGACAACCCCGGGAAACUGGGGCUAAUCCCCGAUAAGUAAGGAAUCCUGGAAUGGAUCUUUGCUGAAAGGGCGUCUGGACUAUGCUUCUUGACGUCGCCCAAGGAUGGAGCCGCGACCGAUCAGGUAGUUGGCGAGGCAACGGCUCACCAAGCCUAUAACCGGUACGGGCCGUGAGAGCGGGAGCCCGGAGAUGGGCACUGAGACAAGGGCCCAGGCCCUACGGGGCGCAGCAGUUGCGAAAACUCCGCAAUGCGCGAAAGCGUGACGGGGCUACCCCGAGUGCCGCCCGUUGAGGGCGGCUUUUCCACGGUGUAAGGAGCCGUGGGAAUAAGGAGAGGGCAAGACUGGUGUCAGCCGCCGCGGUAAUACCAGCUCUCCGAGUGGUGGGGACGAUUAUUGGGCUUAAAGCGUUCGUAGCCGGCUUAACAAGUCUUCCGUUAAAUCCAACGAUCUAAUCGUUGGGCUGCGGGAGAUACUGUUGGGCUAGGAGGCGGGAGAAGCCGACGGUAUUCUCGGGGUAGGGGUGAAAUCCUGUAAUCCCGGGAGGACCACCAGUGGCGAAGGCGGUCGGCUAGAACGCGCUCGACGGUGAGGGACGAAAGCUGGGGGAGCGAACCGGAUUAGAAACCCGGGUAGUCCCAGCUGUAAACGAUGCGGGCUAGGUGUUGGGGUGGCCACGAGCCACUUCAGUGCCGCAUGGAAGCAAUUAAGCCCGCCGCCUGGGGAGUACGGCCGCAAGGCUGAAACUUAAAGGAAUUGGCGGGGGAGCACCACAAGGCGUGAAGCUUGCGGUUU
RNAcentral lists this ribosomal RNA (911 nucleotides) under uncultured archaeon. RNAcentral's name for it is "bacterial SSU rRNA". It matches the Rfam family "Archaeal small subunit ribosomal RNA", at positions 17 to 903 of the family's 1478-position model. The record is from RNAcentral.